This 336-nucleotide small nuclear RNA is filed under the name Erinaceus europaeus (western European hedgehog). Its description in RNAcentral is "7SK RNA". It matches the Rfam family "7SK RNA". From Rfam's summary of the family: 7SK was discovered as an abundant small nuclear RNA in the mid-70s but a possible function has only recently been suggested. Two independent studies have found that 7SK RNA binds the CDK9/cyclin T complex (known as elongation factor P-TEFb). Lineage: Eukaryota; Metazoa; Chordata; Mammalia; Eulipotyphla; Erinaceidae. The record is from Rfam by way of RNAcentral.
GGAUGCGAGGGCGAUCUGGCUGCGACAUUUGUCACCCCACUGAUCAUCAGGGUUGAUUUGGCUGAUCUGGCUGGCUAGGCGGGUGUCUCCUUUCUCCCUCACCGAUCCAUGUGCGUCCCUCCCAAAGCUGCUCUUUGAAGAAGAGGAUGGCCUUCCCCGAAUAGAGAUGGACCGGUCUUUGGGCGAGGGUAUACGAGUAGCUGUGCUCCCCUGCUAGAACCUCCAAACAAGCUCUCAAACCUAAGGUAAACAUGCUUUAUCGGGGGGGGAUGGCAACUGUCAUACAAAAAGAGAUCAACGAAGCUAAUUCAAAGUAGUUUUUUCUUUAUUAUCUUU